UUAUAUAAUCACUCAUUAUGGUUCUUAAGUUGAAUCUAUGUUUCAUGAAACACUGAAGUUCUGUGUGUGCAAUGAAGCAACAGCUGCACUGAGGGGGAAACACCAUGAUAUGUUGAGGACAGCUACAGUUCACUGACUCUGUGUGUUUGCAUAUGUGUCCUUCCUCUCUGCUCCCAGCCGUUAAGAGGCCAGUGUUGAUCAGUGGCUGUCCAGGCCUUUCAGAGCCACUGACACGCCGGCAGCACAAUGAUAAUGUCACUGACUCUACUGCUGGCCACCCUGGGGCUCCUUGUUCAGGAUUCAUCAGGAGAAGUCAUUGUGACUCAGUCUCCUAAAGCUCAGUCUGUUGUUCCAGGACAGACUGUCUCUAUCAGAUGUAACGUUAGUCCAAGCACUGGUUACUGCUUCAGCUGGUACCUUUAGAAACCUGGAGAAUCUCCUAAACUCCUAAUUACUUGUGGUUCAACCCGUCAGUCUGGAGUUUCAGAUCGUUUCAGUGGGAGCGGAUCUGGUAGUGAUUACACUCUGACCAUCAGUGGAGUCCAGACUGAAGAUGCAGCAGUUUACUACUGUCAGAGUGCUCAUUACAUCAACAGUCAGUGGUUGUUCACACAGUGAAAAAGCGUCGUACAAAAACCUCCCUCCGCUGGAGAGGAACUGAUCUCAAUCAACAGCUGCACAGACAUUAAAACACUACAUGAUGGAUUAACAUACAUUGUUCAAUUUCAACAAGAAAAUAUUUUUCAUAUUUUUCUUCAAUAUAAUUUUUAGGAGUAAUUUUUGUGCCAUUCCUGAUGAAAAAAAGAAGAUUGCUGAAAAUCAGAAUGACAGCUGCAUAAUUUUAGCUCUUAAACAUUAUAGUUUGAGUAACAUAAAAACAUAUACUCAGUGAAUCUAUAAAAAAACUUACAAAUGUUUAGGAAUGACAAUAUUUAUAUUUAUAUUUUUUACAUUUGCUUUGAAAAAAAGUUAUUUUUGUUGAAAUAAUUUGAGAUCUCAACAGAAUAAAAUGAAUUUGUUUCAUAAAUGAUGUAUCAUUAUCAACACCGUUUAUGAAUCUAAAACAUUGCGAGUCUCUUCUUGUUGAUUAAAUCAUGAAAAAAUGAU
Long non-coding RNA from Dicentrarchus labrax (European seabass), 1107 nucleotides. RefSeq lists it as uncharacterized. The record is from RefSeq and is a predicted model, not a curated record. The transcript has 2 exons. NCBI's taxonomy places the organism in Eukaryota, Metazoa, Chordata, Actinopteri, Moronidae.